UUGGAGGGCAAGUCUGGUGCCAGCAGCCGCGGUAAUUCCAGCUCCAAUAGCGUAUAUUAAAGUUGCUGCAGUUAAAAAGCUCGUAGUUGAAUUUCGGGACCAUCAUGUCGGUCGUGCCUCGGUACGUACUGGUAUUGUUGGUUUCUCCCUUCUGACGAACCAUGAUGUCAUUUAUUUGGUGUUGUGGGAAAUCAGGACUGUUACUUUGAAAAAAUUAGAGUGUUUAAAGCAGGCCCACGCUUGAAUACAUUAGCAUGGAAUAAUGAAAUAGGACGUUUGAUUCUAUUUUGUUGGUUUCUAGGAUCGACGUAAUGAUUAAUAGGGAUAGUUGGGGGCAUUAGUAUUCAAUUGUCAGAGGUGAAAUUCUUGGAUUUAUUGAAGACUAACUACUGCGAAAGCAUUUGCCAAGGAUGUUUUCAUUAAUCAAGAACGAAAGUUAGGGGAUCGAAGACGAUCAGAUACCGUCGUAGUCUUAACCAUAAACUAUGCCGACUAGGGAUCGGAUGAUGUUAAUUUUUUAAUGACUCAUUCGGCGCCUUACGGGAAAC
RNAcentral lists this ribosomal RNA (548 nucleotides) under uncultured Glomeromycotina. RNAcentral describes it as "SSU rRNA". It matches the Rfam family "Eukaryotic small subunit ribosomal RNA", at positions 548 to 1098 of the family's 1831-position model. The record is from RNAcentral. Lineage: Eukaryota; Fungi; Glomeromycota.